Molecule: long non-coding RNA, 1037 nt
Filed under: Rhinopithecus bieti (black snub-nosed monkey)
Lineage: Eukaryota; Metazoa; Chordata; Mammalia; Primates; Cercopithecidae
Description: lncRNA (ENSRBIG00000045949.1)
Source: RNAcentral
UUGGGGGUGGAGGGGCCAGUUCCUCUGUGACUGACUGGCUGACGCAGCUUACUUGAACAGGUCCAGCCUAGAGAGUCAACUUUAGAGACUGGCAUUUGCAAGUGCGCAACGGUGUUUGACGGGGGACAUAGAUGACUGCUGGUCCUCCUUCAUAAACUCGGCCUUGGAGUGUGCAGCCACUGAGGUACAGGAGUCCUGUGCUGUCCCUGCACUAAUCAGAGUGCUCAAAAUCCAGCCUCUGCCUUCAAGAAGGGAGCAGGGGGAGCCCGGGCUGGCUGCGAUUUCAUGGGGACAGGUAAGAAGGUGCAAACUUGGGGUUCAGAGGGAAGGUGGAGGGGUGGCUGGGAUGCAUGAGCUAGGGGUGGCAGUUUUUCCAAAUUAUACAUUCAGGUCAUGCGUGGAACCCUUGCAGAGACCUGACUUGCUGUUUUUCUAUCUCUUCCUGGUGUGCCGGGCAGUCUCUCUGUGCUCAUGGUUUAACUAGUCUUUCUUUAUUUUUAUUUUAUUUUAUUAUGAUUUUUUGAGACGGAGUCUCACUCUGUUGCCCAGGCUGGAGUGCAGUGGUGUGAUCUCGGCUUGCUGCAACCUCUGCCUCCAAGGUUCAAGUAAUUCUCCUGCCUCAGCCUCCCAAGUAGCUGGGAUUAUAGGCGCCCACCAACACGCCCAGCUAAUUUUUGUAUUUUUAGUAGAGACGGGGUUUUACCAGGUUGGCCAGGCUGGUCUUGAACUCCUGACCUCAGAUGAUCCACCCGCCUUGGCCUCCCAAAGUGAUGGGAUUACAGGCAUGAGCCACUGCACCCGGCCACUCUUUUCUUUUCUUCUAUUUCUUUUAUUGGCUCUCUCUUUCUCUCUCUCUUUUUUUUUUAGAUAGGGUCUUGCUCACUGUGUUGCCCAGGCUGGUCUUGAACUGCUGGACUCAAGCCAUCCUCCUGCCUCAACUAACCGAGUAACUGGGAUUACAGGUGAAUGCCACAGCACCUGGUUGCUCAUUUCCUUUUAGCGCUGAAUAAUAUUCCAUUGUCUGGAUGUACCACAGU